GACGAACGCUGGCGGCGUGCUUAACACAUGCAAGUCGAACGGAAAGGCCCUGCUUUUGUGGGGUGCUCGAGUGGCGAACGGGUGAGUAACACGUGAGUAACCUGCCCUUGACUUUGGGAUAACUUCAGGAAACUGGGGCUAAUACCGGAUAGGAGCUCCUGCUGCAUGGUGGGGGUUGGAAAGUUUCGGCGGUUGGGGAUGGACUCGCGGCUUAUCAGCUUGUUGGUGGGGUAGUGGCUUACCAAGGCUUUGACGGGUAGCCGGCCUGAGAGGGUGACCGGCGACAUGGGUACUACGGGAGGCACCAGAGUCCUAUGGGGGGCAAUGGGGGGAAGUAUUGCACAGUGGGAGGGAGCCUGAUAAGAAGACCCCGCGUGCGGGAUGACGGCCUUCGGGUUGUAAAACGCUUUCGCCCGUGACGAAGCGGGUGUGACGGUAAUGGGUAAAGAAGCACCGGCUAACUACGUG
Molecule: ribosomal RNA, 468 nt
Filed under: uncultured bacterium
Lineage: Bacteria
Description: partial 16S ribosomal RNA
Rfam family: Bacterial small subunit ribosomal RNA
Source: RNAcentral